This 357-nucleotide ribosomal RNA is filed under the name Staphylococcus aureus. Its description in RNAcentral is "partial 23S ribosomal RNA". It matches the Rfam family "Bacterial large subunit ribosomal RNA", at positions 1521 to 1875 of the family's 2925-position model. Lineage: Bacteria; Bacillati; Bacillota; Bacilli; Caryophanales; Staphylococcaceae. The record is from RNAcentral.
AAGGCUGAGUAUUAGGCAAAUCCGGUACUCGUUAAGGCUGAGCUGUGAUGGGGAGAAGACAUUGUGUCUUCGAGUCGUUGAUUUCACACUGCCGAGAAAAGCCUCUAGAUAGAAAAUAGGUGCCCGUACCGCAAACCGACACAGGUAGUCAAGAUGAGAAUUCUAAGGUGAGCGAGCGAACUCUCGUUAAGGAACUCGGCAAAAUGACCCCGUAACUUCGGGAGAAGGGGUGCUCUUUAGGGUUAACGCCCAGAAGAGCCGCAGUGAAUAGGCCCAAGCGACUGUUUAUCAAAAACACAGGUCUCUGCUAAACCGUAAGGUGAUGUAUAGGGGCUGACGCCUGCCCGGUGCUGGAAG